RNAcentral lists this long non-coding RNA (735 nucleotides) under Sus scrofa (pig). RNAcentral's name for it is "lncRNA (ENSSSCG00060064404.1)". The record is from RNAcentral. Lineage: Eukaryota; Metazoa; Chordata; Mammalia; Artiodactyla; Suidae.
GAGUGUGUCGCCAAGCAGAGAACAGGCUGCUGCCCCCACCGGGGACCAGCCCUGGCUGUCGGGCUGCCCGUGGCCUUUGCCCGGGACGGGAGCUGGGCUCUGGGCGAGAGGUGCACUUCCUCCUCGGGGACCCUCGUGGCCGCUGCUGACCAAGGACACCUGCCUGACAAGGGAGACCGGAUGUGCAGGGACCCAGUGUUGGCAAAAUUUCCGUGAGCCAUCACGUUAAGAAGAAGGAAAGGGAUUGGAGCCAGACUGAGGCUUAGAACCCGGGAGACCGACUCUGACGCUCGCGGGGCUGCCCUGCUUGUGAGACGUCAAGGCACAGCCGUAGACGUGUUCGAGACAAAGGAGCAUACGUCCCCAUGACGCCCUGGUGCUUCUCCCCGACUUCACCGAGGACCCCUGGUCCGGGGGGCGGACACCAGGGAGCAGCCAGCUGGGUGCUCCCUGGACUAGGGGUCCUCGGUGCCCACAGUGUGAAAUACGUGACCUCCGCGGAGCUGGACGGAACGCGGCUCUCUCGGGAGCUACGUGGCUGGUGUCAGAAGGAAGGGAGACGGAUCUUUCCCAUCCCGUCGAGCGAGCGGCCUGACCUCCUGCCGGGAGCUCCAGGGACUGUGUCAGGCAGAUGCCCACACGCACAGGAGGCGCGAGAGGCCCACACCAACUCAGACAGAAUUUUGUGUUCGAUUUCCCCUUGUCCUGCCUUCCACCUAAAAUUCGUUCCAUCGG